UCUAGAUGCAUGCUCGAGCGGCCGCCAGUGUGAUGGAUAUCUGCAGAAUUCGCCCUUGGAUUAGGCAUGCAAGUCGAGCGAGGACAUGUUGAAUGGCAACAUUCGACGUGAACCGAGCGGCAGAAGGGUGAGUAAUGCAUAGAUAACCUACCCUCGAGUUCCGGACAACGGCGUCUUAUUUAUAAGGCUUUACCGAAAGGGCCGCUAAUACGGGAAAACCUCGCGGGGUCACCUGGCCCUGCGAGCAAAGAUGGGGAUCCUUCGGGACCUAUCGCUUGAGGAGGGGUUUAUGUCCUAUUAGCUUGUUGGUGAGGUAACGGCUCACCAAGGCUUUGAUGGGUAGCUGGUCUGAGAGGAUGGUCAGCCACACUGGGACUGAGACACUGCCCAGACACCUACGGGUGGCUGCAGUCGAGAAUCAUAGUCAAUGCGCGAAAGCGUGAACUUGCGACGCCGCGUGCGGGAUGAAGGCUUUCGGGUUGUAAACCGCUUUUAGGAUUUAGGAACCGCGAAGAGGCCAAUACCCUCUUCGUCUGACCAAGUCCAGAAAAAGUCACGGCUAACUCCGUGCCAGCAGCCGCGGUAAUACGGAGGUGGCAAGCGUUGCUCGGAAUCACUGGGCAUAAAGAGCACGUAGGCGGCAAGGCAAGUCGGGUGUGAAAUCCCCCAGCUUAACUGGGGAAUUGCGCUCGAUACUGCCUCGCUAGAGGACAGGAGGGGAGAGUGGAACUCUAGGUGGAGCGUGAAAUGCGUUGAUAUCUAGAGGAACGCCGGUGCGAAGCGACUCUCUGGCUGUCUGACGCUGAUGUGCGAAAGCUAGGUAGCGAACGGAAUAAGAAUACCCCGGUAGUCCCUA
RNAcentral lists this ribosomal RNA (856 nucleotides) under uncultured Planctomycetota bacterium. Its description in RNAcentral is "uncultured planctomycete partial 16S ribosomal RNA". It matches the Rfam family "Bacterial small subunit ribosomal RNA", at positions 1 to 798 of the family's 1533-position model. The record is from RNAcentral. Lineage: Bacteria; Pseudomonadati; Planctomycetota.